AGAAAGAACAAACAUAAAUAUUUGAUUAUUCUUCUACCCUCCAUGCUAGAAUUGAAUGUGUCUGAAGAAAAGCAACAUUGGCAUAUGCAAACGGGAACCCCUUUUUAGAGAACCCCAUGCAGCUUAUGUACAUAGAAUCAGCUAGAAUCAAAACGUGUAGCAUCAUCACAAUACAUCAUUUUUUCCUAUCUGCUUGGAGAAGGAAAACUUUUCCCCCCAUUGGAUUCCCCCAUUAGAACCCCAAAGCACAUAAAAUAAAAGCCUGACUAGAUAACCUUAUCCUCGCUUAUUAUGCAUCUUCUUCGGGUCUUCCUGCUCUGCAUCUACUAAGCCUACUUUACAUAUGCUUAAAAAAAACCUGGAAAGGGAAGAAGAGUGGUCUUGGUGCCUUUUUUCUUUUUUCUUUUUUUUCAAAACCUUUCAAUAUUUACUCGUGAUAUCCUUUAGCAAAAGAAAGUUGAGGCGUGGCAUGGCAUGGCAUAUCUACACGGGAACCACAUCUUUAUUAUAAAUCUGUAAAUCUAUAAAUCUGUAAGCAGGGAGGAGUAUAUAAAAUUUGUACUAAGUACAAAACUUGAUGGCAAAAGUACAAUAAAUCUUAUGAAGUUGGAGAACUGAAAGGAUAACCAUGUAUUGUCAAAAGAAUCGAGUUGAAUAAAUUACGUGAUCCAGGGUAAUUUAAGAAAUUUCAAUUUGCUACUAUAGUUAAUUGGGACUAAGCAAACGCAUUGCUACUAAGCAACUCUUUGGAGAGACUCCAAAGAGAAUCCAUAAAGAGCAUGAAACUCGAAUGUUUUGCGGUUCUAGAAGUCCGUGAAUCAUUCUCAAAAUAUCAUUGUUAUGAUGUUAAGAGAGUGUUACUGAUAAAUUUUGCGUGUCAUUCUUGUGUUGAAUCUUGAGAAAAAUUAGUGGUGAUAAAAUUUGAUACAAUUUAUCAAUAUUAUUCGAAUUUGACACAUUUUUUGUAAAUUUAGAUUGAUUAUAAUAUUAUUUAAUUAAAUUCGUGUCGACCUAUAUAACUUAUUUAAUAAAUAGAUUAUUUUCUUUAUCAACCUAUAUGACAUGAAUUUGACCCAAAAUGACCUAUUUAAUAACCGUGUUGAUUAAUCAAAUUAUAAUCAUAACCAAUUUAGCUUAUAUUUGAUUGAUUUAAAAUUUGAUUUUGAAUAAAUAGGUCAAUCGGCUAAUAAACAUGUUAGGUUGAGAUGUUAAUCAUAUUGGCUGAAACAAAGAUCUAGUUCGACUUGAUUAUUAAAUGAGACUUAACUAUUAAAUGAGUUAUAUAAUAUAUUACCUGUUUAGUAAUUAGCAUGUUUGGUUUAUAUUUUAAUUUGAUUAUUAUUUGAUUUGUGCUUAAGUUGACCUAUUUAGUCCAAUGCAUGAGUUUUGACAUAUCACAAACACAAUUCACCAACAUGAAUUGUCACCCCUAAAACAAUAAGAGAUUUAUGUAAAUUGAUACAUUUCUAGUAGGGAUGGCAACGGGACGGUUUCAUGAUAGGUCAUCAUCCCAAUCCUGCCUUGUUUAUUCAAAAUAUUUUUCAUCCAUGUCUCAUUAAAAGAAUUAAAUGGAGCUGGGAGGGGCGGCGUGAGUAUGCAAAUUUCUCAUACUCAUUCCGUACCGCUUCAUUUAACCUUUUAAAUAUAUAUAUAUAUAUAUUUCAAAAUAUUUAACUAUAUUAAAAUAUUAUAGUUUUUUAUAACUUAUUUGAUUGAAAGGUAUUUUUUAUUAUUAUUAUUAUUAAAAAUAAGAAAAUAAAAAUUAAUUUAAUUUAAUUUUAAAAAUCAUUUUUAUAUAUAAUCAGGGUGAGGUAAGACAAGACAAUAUCCGAACUUGCCUUGAAUCCAUCAUAGAUUUAAAAAAAAAAAAAUCAAAUCCACCUUUAACCCUUUUAUUUAAAUUUCAAACUUGCCCCAUAAAGACAAGGCGAGGUAGGUACCGCCUCAAUGUCAUCAUUAAUCUCUAACCAAGAGUUUUAAAUUACACAUAUUCAUUCUCUUGCUAGGUAUCCUACAAAGUAUUAAAAAUCUCUUUUUAACGAGUAUUGGCAUAAGAAAUAAAGAAAUUUUUUUGUCAAAAACUCUUUAUACCAUCAAGACACAUCAAGAGGGUAUUGGAAAAAAAAAAUUGUCUUAAUGACUACAUUAACUUUACCUUGAUCAAACCAAGUGUCUUAACCAUAAGAUUCAUGAAUUCAUACAUGCAUGUUUGUGGUUCACAUUAAUGUAUUUUUAUGAUAUUAAUUGGAUUGAUCCUAAAAUAAAUAACUCAAAGGUCAAGUUCCAAAAUUUAUUAUUAAGAAUAAGAUAUGAAGAAUUGUCUAUUAUUGCACUGAUAAAAAAUUUGAUGUUUCAUAGUAGAAAUAAACAUAUAAGUAUCAAAUUCAUUAUAUUAAGGAACUCGUAAAAAAUUAUGAGAUUGAAUUUGGGCUUUGUAGAUCAAAAGAUCAAGUUGCAAAUAUUUUUAUAAAACUAUUAAAAAUUGAUGUGUUCAAGAAGUUGAAAAUGAUGUUUAGUGUGAUUGACCUUACAACUUAGUUUAAAGGAGAAUGUUGAAAUUAUAAUCUAACUUAAAGUCAAAUUAUAAGAAUUUUAGGAAUUUGAGAAACAUUAUAAAUUGUUUAUUUAGGUUUCUUACAUUAAUUAGGAUUUCUAUACUAAUAUGAAUUGGAAUCGUACACAAGUAUGAUUAAUAUAUUAUAAAUAAGUUUGUUAUUAUGUAAAAUAUAUAUAUAUAUAUAUAUAAUAAGAUAUUAUUUUAGCAAAAAUAUUAUCAAUACCCAAUCACGUGGCUUUAAGCAAGGAAUUGGGUCAUUGAGCUCACCACUCCUAUCUACACUACAAAACAAGAAGAUUAGCAAAGAGAGAACUUGUACCCACAGGUACAUGGGACUCUGAUUAAUCAUAGCUUUGAUAUAUAAGAAUCAAAAUGGUUUAGUUCUAGAAAUGGCUUUAUUUGAAUGCACGUUUUUUUUUUUUUUUUUUUUAAUGUUUUGAAAAAAUUAGAAGGUUUUAUAUAGAAAGUAAAAAAAUUUAUUCAAUAGAUAUAGAUUCACCUUAUAUCCUCAAAAAAAUUUUAAAAAUUGAAGUAAAAAACUUUCCAUAUCUCAAAUUUUUUAAGUAGUUUUUAAAAAUUAUUACAUUUUCAAUAGAAGCCCAUAAAGGUUUAAAUUACUUAUAUUUUCUAUUUUUAAUAAUUUAAGAAGAAGAAUUAUUUUAUUAAAAUAGAUGAAAUAAUCUUGAAUCAACAAAAUUAGCCUCUUCCAUAUUUAAACUUAAAAAAUAAUAUAUUUCAACAUAAAUACCCUUCAUUAUUAGGAUUAUUUUCAUAUAAAUUUUAGAAGAAAAUUUUACUUUUAUUGGAAAACAUGAAGAGUAUGUCUUUAAAAAAUUGAUCAAUUUUUUAGACUUUAUAUUUACAAAUUUGAAAUUAUUUUAUCUUUUUUUUAUCAAAUAACCCAAGAAAAAAAUAUAUAUAUAUGCAAAGGAACACCUAAAUUAUUAUUCUUCAACAACAAUUAGAAAAAGUUAAAGAUAUUCAAACAAAAGGUGAUAUACAUGUUUCGUGAAUCUAAAAUGACGAACUGAGAUGAUGUUUAUUUUUUUUACUUGCUUUUAAAUGAAAAUAAAAAUUAAAUAGUACUUAAUAGUGUUAAGUAUUAAAUUAUUUGUUUUCAUAAUAUUUUAUUUUUAUUAAGUAUUAAAAAGUAAAAAAAAAAAUCAACAUUUUAUUUUUUUUAUUUUUAAAAAAAAGUUAAAUAUUUUAAUUUUUUUGUUAAACCAAAAAUUUAAAAUAAAUUAUGAAAAAAAAAAACAAACAAACAACUUAAAAUUUGAAAACAAAUUACUGUCAACAAAAAACUAAAAAAAUAAAUACUUUUAAUUCCUAUUGUAAAACUUUAUUUGUGAGUAACCCUUAUAUUAAAUCAUUACCAUAUGUAAAUUUCAUUCUAAGGCACAAGAUUUAGAGUUGACAAAAUUAGUGUCUAAAAUAGUAAAAUGUCAACGAGUGACACGUCAGCUUUAGGCGACACAUCAUUUAAAAAAAAAUAGGAAAAAAAGGAACGAACAAACGAAAAGGAAACAAUGCAAGAAGCUAGCGAAGAGGUAGUCACAUCAAGAGUAGACGAAGAUGGUGGGUGAAGUGAUGAGCAGAGAGCUGGGAGCUAGGUUCACUUCCAGUGGAAAAUGUCCAAGCUCUUGCUUCGAGCAACUCCGAUGAUAUGCCACUCUGGUACCUCCGAUCGGAGCUCCAGUCAGAAGAAGUUUUGGUGGAUGAGUCUCUCCAAAUUCCUACCAUAGAUAUGAGGAAGCUCAUGGUUGAAGAUGAUGAAAUGGGAAAAGUUCAGUCGGCCUGUAAAGAAUGGGGUUUCUUUCAGGUAUAAUUAUUUUUAUAUAUUUGGUCGAUCCUUGGGAUUUUUGGCAAAUUCAUGUCUUGGGCUGCUUUUAUUUCUUUUAAUAUGUCUCUUGGCUCAAUGAGUACUUCAUUUUAACUGAUAUUGCAUAUAGAGUCCUGUAAACAAUUCUUUUUUGGGUUUUUAAGAAGGGAGGGAUUGGGUUAGAAUGCAUAUUCAUAUGCAGGGCUGAAAGAAAACAAAGUAGAACAAAGUAUUUUGGAAGUUUGGAAAUUUGUUGUGUAUUCAAUCUAUCAAUUAAGGGAAGAAGAUGCAUAUAUACAAAGCAUUGGUUAGCCUAUUCUAGGAAUCUAUGUGCAAACGUAUCAGUUACAAUCAAUAAAAAAUAAUCUUCUAUAUACAAUCAAAUCUCAUCCUCAAAUUAUGGGAUCCUUGAUUCUUUUCCCAUAAUACUCCCCCUCAAGUUGGAGCGUGUAUGUCAAGAACGCCAAACUUGUUGAGAAGGGAAUGAAAAAUUGAUGAACUGAGUGGCUUAGUGAACAAAUCAACAAGCUGGCAAGACAAUGGAACAUGAGCAAUUAUUAUGGCACCUGAUUGAAUUUAUUCUCGAACAACAUGGCAAUCGAUUUCUAUAUGCUUGGUACGUUCAUGGUAAAUUGGAUUAGCAGUAAUAUGGAGUGCUGUUUUUCUAUCACAGAAUAGUUUGGUUGCUUGCGAGUGUUCUACCUGCAAGUCAUCCAACAAAUACUUGAGCCAUGUAAGUUCACACGUAAUGGAAGUCAUUGCUCGAUAUUCUGAUUCAGCUAAUGACCUUGACACUGUUGUCUGUUUCUUGGUUUUCCAUGAAAUAAGAGUUUCUCUAAGAAAAAUGCAAUAUCCAAUCACAGAUCGUCUUGUGAUCGAACAUUGAGCCAAAUCUGCAUCGCAAAAUCCUCUUAGUAGCAAAUUUCCUUUGGCAGGAAAAUAUAAUCCUUGUUUAGGUGCACCUUUAUGAUACCGCAGAAGAUGAUGAACAACAUCCAAAUGAGGCUUUCUUGGUUCUUGCAUAAACUGACUUAAAAUGUGAACUGAAUAACUUAUCUCUGGCCUUGUAAUGGUAAGAUAAAUGAGUUGUCCGACCAAUCUUCUGUAAGUGGAUGGAUUCUUCAAUAAAUCUCCUACCGUGGGCAGGAGUUUAUUAUUUUCUUCCAUAGGUGUCGACAAUGGUUUGGCCCCAAGCAAGCCUGCUUCAUCUAAGAUAUCAAGAGUGUAUUUUCGUUGGGAUAUCGAAAUACCAUCAUUAGAACAAGCAACUUCAAUAUCAAGGAAAUAUCAUAAUUGACCGAGGUCCUUGAUGCGAAAUUUGGUGUGGAGAGACUCCUUAAGAGCUGCAAUUACAUUCUCAUCAUUGUCGGUGAUGAUCAUGUCGUCUACAUAGAUGAGCACAACUAUGAAAGAAUUACCAGAGAUCUUUGUGAAAAGUGAAUAAUCAGCCUUUGAUUGAUGGAAACCAUCUUGUUGAAUGGUGGUAGAAAAUUUCUGAAACCAACUACGGGAGGCUUUUUUAAGCCCAUAUAAUGACUUGUUGAGUCGACAUACCAUAAGUGUCUCUCCCUGUCGACAAAAAUCGGGCGGUAAUUGCAUAUAGACUUCUUCAAGAAAAUCACCAUGGAGAAAGGCAUUUUGAACAUCCAUUUGGUGAAGUGACCAGUGUCGGACAACAGCUAUAGCAAGUAAACAUCGAACUGUAGUUAACUUAGCCAUAGAAGAAAAGGUCUCCUUAUAGUCAAUCCCUUCGCGUUAAGUGAAGCCUUUCACCACCAACCGAGCUUUGUAUCGCUUAACUGUGCCAUCAGAGUUAUAUUUGAUCUUAUACACCCAUUUGCACUCAAUUGGACGAUGACUGGAAGGGAGAGGUGUGAGUGUCCAAGUGUGAUUUUGUUCAAGAGCAUGGAGUUCUACAACCAUAGCUUCCUGCCAUUUUGGAUCCAAUACUGUUUGUUCAUAAGUUGUAGGUUCCACAAGAGUGGUGAUGGCACAAACAAAAUUCUAAUAUUUUGGUGAGAGUUGUGCAUAGGAAAUAUACCGAGUCAAAGGGUGACGUGUACUUGACAAGGAAGAAGAUUGGCUGGAAGCAACCUUGGUUGUGUGGUAAAGAUGAAAAUUCCAGAGUUGGACAUUUGGUUGCUUGAUACGGUUAGAACGAUGAGUAACAGGAGGUGGAGGUGACACAAUGGUGUCAAGAUCAAGUGUACGUUCAUUAGAGGUAGACUCAGGAGAUGAAAGUAAGGGUGGUGGAGACAAAGAUUGAUCAUCGGCUUGGGGUUUGGUUGUCUUUGUGGUUAUGGGUUCAUAUGAGGUUUGUGGUAAAGGAAGAAUGACCAUAUCAUAUUGUUCUUCUUGUGGAUUAUUGUGGAAUGGAAAUAUAUGUUCAUGAAAGACAACAUCUCGGGAAGAAAAUAAUUUAUUAGUUUCAAGAUCAUAAACCCGAUAACCCUUUUGACCAAGAGGAUAACCAACAAAUGUGCAACGACAAGCUCUUUAAUCAAAUUUAUGUGUGGGUAAGAGAUUGGUGGCAUAACAAAGACAUCCAAAAGUUCAUAGAUGAUGAUAUGAAGAUAGCUUGUUAUAGAGAAGUUGGUAUGGCGAUUUGUGAGAAAGAAGGGGUAUAAGUAAGCGAUUGAUUAAAUAGCAAGCCAUUUGAACAGUUUCCCCAAAAAAUUUUAACAGCAAGUUUGCUUGAAAACGAAGAGCUCUUCCCACAUUUAAAAGGUGACGAUGUUUCCUCUCAACCACUCCAUUUUUUUGGGGGGUGUAAGCACAUGAAUGAUGGUAAUUGAUCCCCUUAGUAUCCAAAUACUGCUUCAUAGAGGAAAUUUUAGUCGCAUUAUCGGUUCAAAGAGUUUUAAUGCAACGAUUAAAUUGUGUUUCCACCCAAGAAAUGAAUGAUUACAAUAUUCCUUGUGUUUCAUAUUUAAAACUCAUGAGAUGUAUUCAAGUAUAGCGGCGGGUAUGAUCAUCAACAAUUGUUAGGAAAUAACGAGCCUUGGAAUGAGAAUUUAUUCGAUGUGGUCCCCAAAUAUCACAAUGUAUCAAAUCAAAAGGUGCGUGAGAAGAAAUGAAACUAGAUGAAAAGAACAAACGAGUUUGUUUGGCUAAAGGGCAAAUUUCAUAAACAUGCUUGGAAUCAAAAUAAAUUUCAGGAUUAAUUUUAGCAAGAACUUGAAGAGGACCGGAUGAUGGGUGCCCAAGACGUUGAUGCCAAAGAUCAGAAUGUUUGUGAAUGGUGUAAGCCAAGGCUGGAUUUUGGUCGUGUGCAAGGUAGUAGAGGCCAUUAUGUUGCUUACCCAGGCCAAUCGUCUUCCUCGUAGUAACGUCUUGCACAACACAAAAAUCAAAACUAUACAUUGUAAUGCCCGCGUUAGUUUACUAACUGAUAGUAAAUUAACUUGAAAUUGUGGAACUUUGAGUACAUCAUCAAGUUUAAUGUGAGGGGUAACAUGCAAUGAACCAAUUGACUCAAUAUGUGCUUGACCACCAUCUGGCAAACUAAUGGUAGUGGUCCUGAGCAAAUUUUUCGGAUCUAAUAAUUCAAUUGAGUAAGUUGCAUGAUCCGUGGCUCCACUAUCAAUAAUCCAACACAUAUUUGAGUGUGGCAAUCUGGAGUAAUUUUGGAUGAUGGCAUAUUUAUACUUGUGGCAUUUGCAAAAUGUUGUGAAUUACCACCAUUGUUUUUACGAAUCAUAACCAUUAAUUGGUUAUAUUCCUCAACUGUGAGCCUUGAUCCAUCACUUGUUGGAAGAAAUUUUGUUUCUAUCUCCACAGCCUUAUUUGUUUCCACUUUCACAUUGUUUGCAUUUGAGUGACGUUGAUUGGGAGGCUUCAGGUUCUUCCCAUGAAGCUUGUGGCCAAUUGGAAAGCCAUGUAGGUAGUAACACUUCUCAAUGCUGUGAUAAUCACGGUCACAAUAAAAGCAGUGCAGUGGAGUAUUUUGCUUUUGAACUUGGUGUGCUAAAGUUGCCUUAUUGUCCCGAUCUGCAAGCAUGGCAUAACGAUUCUUGUUCCCAUGACUGAGAGAAACUUCAACCUGUUUUUCUUGUUGAAGGACAAGUGAGUAAACUCGACGUGUAUCAGGUAGAGGUUGCAUCAAUAAGAUUUGUCUACGAAUGACAGCAUAACUAUCAUUCAAUCCCAUGAGAAACUGCAUAACUCUUUUUUUUCAUCCAUUUCCUUAAGUUUCUCUAAUCCUCCAUAAGAGCAGAAUAACACUUCAUGAUAGGAUGAAAGUUUAUCCCAAAAAGCUUUAAGCUUUGUGUAAUAAACCGAAAUUGAUUGCUGCCCCUGCUUAUGUUCCACAAUGUCUCGCUUGAUCUAAUAAAUUCUUGAAUCUUUUCCUUGUGAAAAACGUUCUUGUAGAUCUGCCCAUAUUUAUGUUGCAGUUUCGGCAUAAAUCACACUGUUGGCUAUGUUUGGAUGAAUGGAAUUCAAUAACCAUGAGAUCACCAUAUCAUUGCAACGUUGCCAGGAAGGAAAACUAUCAUCAGUCGAAGAGGGUGGCUUAAUGGAACCUGUGACAAAUCCAAUUUUGUCUUUAGCACUCAAACUGAUUCUCAUAGCCCGACUCCAUGUGCUAUAGUUAUCUCCUUCAAGUACCUUGGAGACAAGUACCAUACCCAGGUGGUUUGAGUGGUGUAGAGAGAAGGGGUCUAAAGCUUUUGUGAUAGCCUUCGAUGAUGUCAAUCCUGUUUUGUUGAUGUCCAUGGCAGUAGCUGUAACGAAGAAAUAGGUUGCGGAAGCGCUUGGAAGAAUUCAGAGUCACCAGGUUUGGUGCUCUGAUACCAUGAAAGAAAACAGAGUAGAACAGAGUAUUUUGGAAGUUUGGAAAUCUGUUGUGUAUUCAAUCUAUCAACUUAAGGGAAGAAGAUGCAUAUAUACAAAGCAUUGGUUAGCCUAUUCUAGGAAUCUAUGUGCAAACGUAUCAAUUACAAUCAAUCAAAAAUAAUCUUCUAUAUACAAUCAAAUCUCAUCCUCAAAUUAUGGGAUCCUUGAUUCUUUUCCCAUAAUAAGGGCUCAUGGUUUUGGUUAAGACUUUUGUAUGGAACCCCAAAGGUAGAACAUAUAGAGACUACCAAGAUGUAGGAAUUUUCUACCAUACAUCCAUGAUAUGGUGAACUUGAAGCUGAGUUCGUUGGAUGGUUUUACUUUAUCCCUUAAUGGGUUGCUGUCUUAUUCUAAAUUGAGCAUAUAUUGUCAUCAAACAGUUAAUAAAUCAUGGGGUAGCAGAAGAAGUAAUUGAGAAAAUGAAGGCAGUUGUUCAAGAGUUCUUUAAAUUGCCACUAAAGGAGAAGAAUGCAUAUGCAAAACUACCAAAUGGGGUUGAAGGUUAUGGCCAACACUUUGUUGUUUCCCAAGACCAGAAGCUGGAUUGGGCUGAUAUACUUUUUCUUCAAUGCCUGCCAGCCUCCGAAAGAAAAAUGAGGUUCUGGCCUCAAGAACCCAUUUCUUUCAGUUAAAUAGAUUAACUCCUCUGAUUACAUGAAUUCUUUUUAUUAAUUUUUUCUACAGACUUUACCGUAUGCUUGGCACAUUGCUUAAGUUUCCACCUUGUAAACCAGGGCAACCUUAGACAAGUAUUCAUCAGAGCUCCAAAAAGUUUCAAUCUGCCUUUUGGAGUUGAUGGCUAAGAACCUUAUGAUUGAUCCUGGGCAGCUCAUGAAUAUGUUUCAAAAGGGAAGACAACAGAUAAGAAUGAAUUAUUAUCCCCCUUGUGUGCAUGCAAGCAAGGUUAUAUAUUUGUGGACUUACCCUUCUUGUUCAAGUCGAUGAAGUACAAGGCUUGCAAAUAAAGAGAAAUGGUAAAUGGAUACCGAUAAGGCCUGUCCCUGGUGCAUUCAUCGUCAACAUUGGCGACAUUCUUGAGGUAUUAAUAUGGUCAUUGGCAACCUGAAAGUUGGACGAGUAAAAUAAUUUAUGGUUUCAUUGAUUGUGAGCAGAUAAUGAGCAAUGGGGAAUACAAGAGCAUAGAGCAUAGAGCGGUGAUGAACCCAGAGACGGAACGCCUCUCCAUUGCAACAUUCUGUUCUCCGAGUGUUGAGACAAUCAUUGGUCCUUUACCAGAGCUUACAAAGGAGAAUAAUGGUGCAAUCUAUAAAUCUGUAGACUGGGAUGAGUAUUUAAAGUUUGCACUAAGUAGGGAACUUGAUGGUAAAAGUGCAAUCAAUCAUAUGAAGUUGGAGAACUGAAAGACCAAUGAUAACUUCCAUUGCCUGAGAACUUUGUUUGGUGAUUCAUGGACUUUUAUGGGCCAAGGCUAUUUUGGCCUUUAAACUGUGUUGUUUUACAUUAUUAAUGCUUAAUGCCUUCACUUGAUUGAUAAAGCUUGAAGAAAUUAACAAAAUAUCCUCAUCACUUUAAAAUAUUUAACACCGGGAAUUUUUCUACAAUAUGACAUAUCACAAUCACUCCCCAUAUAGAUAGGAAUGACAACGGGGCAGGUUCGGGAUGGGUCGCCCCCCUCCCAACCCUGCCCUGUUUAUUAAAAAAAAUUCUCAUCCCCAUCUCCUUCCCAUACCCGUCCCGCCCUACCCCGUUUAGCUUUUUUUUAAAAAAAUUACUUUUAAAUUUUUUAAUUACAUUAAAAUAAAUAUAUUUUAAAAUUUUAUAUGUAAACGGGGUGGGAUGGGGCAAUACCCGAACCCGCCCCGGGUUUAAAAAAAAAAUCUCAUACCUGUUCCAAACUCGUUUAUUAAAUUUAAACUCCGUCCCAUUAGGGGCGAAGCAGGGCAAGGCGGGGCGAGUAUCCGAAAAAACCCGUCCCGUUGUCAUCCCUACAUAUAGAGACAAUAUCCUUGUUGUGUCACACAAAAGGGUUGAGGAUUAGUUCUAAUUAUACCAUUAUAAUGGCCGAACCUCUCCCGAUAAUGUAAAUAUUAUCCACUUUGGAUCCAAAGGGUCCUCACAACAUUUAAAUGUAUUUAUAAGAUUAAAAGAAAUUCAAACAUAUAUAUGACACUAAAACCUUUUUUUCAUAUCCGAUGUAAGAUAUCACAAUUUAUAACCAUAGAUAUGUACAAUCAAAAUCAAACAUGAUACAUAAAAAGUAUUAAAACUUUCCACAAAAGAUCUUACUCUGUAUUGAAAUAAAAUUAUAGAACUUCACUAUAGUUUACUUCAAUCCUCACUUUCUAGACAAUGGUAACAUUGUUUUUCCACAAUUCUCUUAUAUUAGUGGUACAAGCAUCCAUCCAUUUUUAAAUAAAAUAUACAUAGAAUUAAAAAUAUAUAUUUUUAGUGUACUUUUUUUGUACUUAUUAAAAAACACCACCAAUAAAGUGGUACUAUGCAUCCAACUCGACUCUCAUUGCCUUGUACUUGAGUUUUAUUCCUUUGUACGAUAAUUAAAGUCUCAUUGUUUUGUAUCUCAAUUAUAUUUAUUUAUAUUUUGACCUUAUUCUUUAUUAUUUUAGGUUCAUUUAUUUGUAUUUUAAUUUUAUUUAUUUGUACUUUUAUUUAAUGAUCCAAAUUUUAUUAUAUACUUUUAAUGUCAUGAUUCAAAGUUUAGUACCUUCAAAAUUUUCAACAAAUAUAAUACUUUGGCACAAUCAAAAUGACAACUAAUUUUGAGUGAGCCUUUUUCCAAUGACAGGAAGGUCCUUAUGGCUUUCAAUCUAAAUUUUUCAUUCCAAAAUCAUUGUGAAUAUGUUGACAAGCAUAUUUUGAAAAUAAAGCAAAACAAAUUUAAAACAUAAUUAGGUCAUUGAACUCAUCAACCAUAUCUCCAUCGCAAAAUCAAAAGAUUAGCGAAGAAAAAGAAUCUCUAUUUACACUAUAAAGCAUAAAGAUUAGUAAAAAGGUAACUUGUACUCAAGAUUGCGCAAGAACUUUGAUUAAUCAUUGCUUUGAUAGGUAAGAAUCAAAAUUAGGAUGAAUGAUAUGGGGUUUUUUUUUUUUUUUUUUUGUAUUAUUACAUUUGUUUUCAAAAGAAAAUUUUGAAAAUUUGAAAAUUAUGAGAAAUAUAACACUACUCAUGUCAAAAUUAUCUCUAUAUAAAUUUAUAAAUUGUCUCUAUAUUAAAAUCUCAUUUUCAAAAAGACAAGUUACCUUAUAACUAUUCAUCUUAAAAGACAAUUUUAAUACAAAUUUAAAUUGUGCUCAUGAUAAAAUCUCAUUUUGAAAAAUCGGUUUUUGCAUGUAAAAUUAUAAUUUUAAAGGAUGAUUUUAGAAGCAUGAUGAUAUUUUUCUAAAUAUUUUAUGAACACUAUUUUUUUAAAAUAUGUCUUAUUAAAUAAAUUUUAAAUAUUAAAAAAUUGAAAAAAAAAAAAAAAAAAAAACCCUGGUCCCAAAGCCUCAACAACAGUUCUUUAACAUAAUAUUAAAAGAUUUUCGACUGCAAAUUUGAAAAUUAAAUUCAAAGUUUUUUUCAGCAACUUUGAAUGAAGGCUCUUCAAUCUAAAGUCAAGGUCUUAAAUGAGCCUUGGUUUUUAGGUGCACGAAUCUUUAGAUUUUUUCUGUAUCUCGCAAGCAAAACAUCAGCUUUAGGUAACGCGUCGUUUUCAAAGAAAAUAAAGCAAAACAUGUGUAUGAUGUAUAAUAUACAAUAAUGAGAAACCCUGUGGAGACAACAAAUGGUGGGUGAAGAAAUGAGCACAGAGUCGGGAUUCUUUCUUCCAGUUGAAAAUGUCCAAGCUCUCGCUUCCAACAACUCAGGUGAAAUACCAAGCCGGUACCUCCGGCCGGAACUCCAGUCAGAAGAAGUUUUGGCGGACGAGUCUAUCCAGAUUCCCACCAUAGAUAUGAGGAAGCUCAUGGUUGCUGAAGAUGAGAUGGGUAAACUUCACUAUGCCUGUAAAGAAUGGGGCUUCUUCCAGGUACAAUCCUUAUCCUUAUCUCUUGGGAUUCUUAUAGAGUUCCUGUUUUGAGCUGCAUCCCUAGUUUUAUCCCUUGGAAUUUGUGUUUUGGCUGCAAAAGAUCCACAUGAAAUUAAUUUAUGAUAUUUUGUUCUAAUCUAUCUUGAACAAUAAGUGCUGAAAAUUUCUCAUUUCAAUUUCUCUUAGAUAGAGACUUUAUUACUAUUUAGAUCAUGUCAACAUAAUUAGAUCUAAACCACCUUGGUGAAAAAUAAAAAAUCUUUAUUAUUCUGGGUAAUUAUUGAAAGUGUAAAUUAAAAUCAUUGAAGUCAGCUAUAGCCGAGUCUGUUGGAUAGUUUUAUCUUAUACCUUAAUGGGCUACUGUCUUAUGUUAAAUUGAGCAUAUUGUCAUCAAACAGUUGAUAAAUCAUGGGGUAGCAGAAGAAGUAAUUGAGAAAAUGAAGGCAGACCUUCAAGAGUUCUUUAAAUUGCCACUAAAGGAGAAGAAUGCAUAUGCAAAACUACCAAAUGGGGUUGAAGGUUAUGGCCAACACUUUGUUGUUUCCCAAGACCAGAAGCUUGAUUGGGCUGAUAUACUUUUUCUUCAAUGCCGGCCAGCCUCUGAAAGAAAUAUGAGGUUCUGGCCUCAAGAACCCACUUCUUUCAGGUAAAUAGAUCUACUCCUUUUAUUACAGUAUGCUUGGCACACAUUGCUUAAGCUUCCACCUUGUAAACCAGGGCAACCUUCGACAAGUAUUCAUCAGAGCUCCAAAAAGUUUCAAUCUGCCUUUUGGAGUUGAUGGCUAAGAACCUUAAGGUCGAUCCUGGGCAGCUCAUGAAUAUGUUUCAAAAGGGAAGACAACAGAUAAGAAUGAAUUAUUAUCCCCCUUGUGUGCAUGCAAGCAAGGUUAUAGGUCUCACUCCCCACUCAGAUAUUUGUGGACUUACCCUUCUUGCUCAAGUCAAUGAAGUACAAGGCUUGCAAAUAAAGAAAAAUGGUAAAUGGAUACCGAUAAGGCCUGUCCCCGGUGCAUUCAUCGUCAACAUUGGCGACAUUCUUGAGGUAAUUAACCCUAAAUGUCCUAAGUAACAUUACCUUGUAUUAAUAUGGUCAUUGGAAACCUGAAAGUUGGAGGAGUAAGAUAAUUUAUGGUUUCAUUGAUUGUGAGCAGAUAAUGAGCAAUGGGGAAUACAAGAGCAUAGAGCAUAGAGCGGUGGUGAACCCAGAGACGGAACGCCUCUCCAUCGCAGCAUUCCAUUCUCCUAGUGUUGAGACAAUCAUUGGUCCUUUACCAGAGCUUGUAAAGGAGAAUGGUGCAAUCUAUAAAUCUGUAAGUAGGGAGGAGUAUUAUAAAUUUGCAUUUAGCAGGAAACUUGAUGGUAAAAGUAUAAUCAGUCAUAUGAAGUUGGAGAACUGAAAGACCAUGAUAACCAUGUAUUGUUGAAAGAAUUGAGUUGAAUAAUCAUGUGAUCAAUGGUGAUUUAAGACAAUUGCAAUUUGCUACUAUAGGUAAUUGGGACGAAGCUAACUCAUUGCUUUUUCCAAAGUUCGUCUUAUUCCUUUGCAGGUAAAGAUAAUUUAGACAAAUGCAUUCAAAAUUUGUGAUUAGCUACAUUUAAGAGUGUGAUUUGAGUGAACCCAUCCCAAUCCGAAUCCAAGUAACAAAUUUUCAAUACUUGGAUUGAAUUUGAAUUAGAUUUUUUCAACUCAAAAUCAAUACGAGUCAGACUUGAGCAACUCCAACAUAAUUUUUUUGGUUAUUUUUAAGUUUUAUCUAAUUUAUUAUUUAAAUUUUGAUACAAACAUGGAGAAAAAUUAAAAAAAAACACAAUGAAUUUUGAAUUAUGUAAUUCAACCAACUCCAACCAAUCUAAAUAACUCAAAUUUUAAAAAGUGAGGUUAAAAUGAACUUGGAUGAAGGCACUUUCAAAGGUAGGAUUAGGAGUUAAUUAUGUAUUAAUUUAGAUCAGACUUCAAUUACUCAUCAUCCUAACCAAACCACUAAUGUUGGAGUAUUGAAGUGCACCUGAGAUUGAUUCUAAAAAAACAUUUUUAACAUUAUUAACAUUUGAAUGAUUAAAAAUUUCAAGUGUUAAAAAAAUUAAAAACAUUUUUUAAAAUUAACAUCUUAUUUUAAUGAACUCAAACAAGCAAGUUAAAAUUAACCCAUUUGUAUUAUUUCUACAUCCGAUGACAUCAAGAUUCAAUGGUAAAUGGUUUUUUUAUUAAAUAAAAAAAAUUAAAUAUUUAAAUUUUUUUACUUAAAUAAAAAUAACCUAUUAAUUUUAAUAAAUAUAAUUAAAUUAAAAUAAUAAAUUUACUUUAACUAUAUUAAUUGAUAUAAUAAAUUAUUUUUAACUGAAUAAAAAAAAUUAAAAUAAAAAAUUAAAUAUUUUAAUUUUUUUUAUUCAGUCCAAAUGAUGAUGAGGCAUUUGUUCUUCCAUCAUCUCAAUGACACAAAAUAUUAACAUUCAAAAUGAUCGUGGAAGUUAUUCAACGUAAAAAAGAAAACAAAAUUUUCUUUGUCAGUGGUCGGUCCUAAGGGCCUGAACCAAGGUGUCAUAGUUUCCCUGGAAGGGAUUGUAGUUGCCUAGUGCCUACUACUUGCGUUGUUCUUGCGAUUUUAUUUGCAUAUACUAAAUAUUUUCAUUAUUUAGACGAGUAUUUGUACCAAACCCAAAUAUUAGAAUGAUAAAAUUAUAAAAUUAAUGAUAAUUCAAAUAAAAAAUAAUAAAAUUUCAUUUCUUUCCUUUAUGAUAUAUAUUCUUAAUAAUUAAAUAUUAUAAUUUUACUAUUUAAUAAAAAAAAACAUAUUAGUAUAAAUUAAUUUUAACAAUAACAAAAAGAAAAAGGAAAAAAAAAGGGGGCAUCAGUUCUCCAAGGUGAAAUAGCAUCAAUGGAAAAAUUCAGACGCAAAUUACCCAUUACUUCAUGAGAUUCAUCACUUGCCCCUGCCAAACUCAAUCGCCAAUACUCAAAGAAAUAACAAAAACACUUUCCCUUUCAUCAAUUUCACGAAAAAACCUUCAACAUUCAUCAGAAAAAAUCAGAAAAAACAAGGUAAAAAAUCAUGAGAGUAUAUGUGAAAGAAAGAAAUAAUAAUGAGAUGUGGAUGUGUGGGAUGUAGAAGGCGAUCAGAACCUGUCGGGAUUCAUUGUUUAACAUCAUCUGAUGUUGAUAUCAGUGGAUUGACAGACCAAUGAAUUCUAUCGUCACCUCGCUUUUUCCAAUCUCAAACCACACACAACAUUCCCAAAAUCAACGAAUGAGUUUUCGAAAAAACAGAUCUAAAAUCAAAACUCCAGCAUAUACGAAAACAUGUAAAGAAAAGAAAAAAAGAAGCUCAGAACUUCUUAGAGGGUUGUGUUACCAUCACAGACCAACUCCGAAGAGAGUCUUUGGUACACAAGACUAGAUUUUCAUCAUUGCAAUAGCUACCAGAACUAGCAUUCGAAGAAGAAGGCAGAAACUAGCAUUUGAAGAAGAAGGCAGAAACUGGCCUAUGAAGAAGGCAGAGAGGGGAAAGAGAAGCAAGGAAAGGAGGCUGGUGUGGUGAGUGGUAGACGAGAGGAAGUGCAGGGAGAAAGGGCCUUUUUAUAGGACAAACCCUAACCCUAAUUUCAUGUCUUGAGAUUAAUGAAGGGAAAUUGUCCCAAAUGGAAUUUAUUUUGGGUUUUCUGUAUACAAAAUUAAACGGUGACAGAAUUAGCUUACUAAAAUUCAUUUUCUGACAUUUGGAAAAUACUUUGCAACAAUUUGGGGAUGAAUAUUUUAUUUUCAUCCCUACUCCCGAAUUUGGUCAUUUCUAGGUAGGAAUGUAAGAUUGAAAUUAUAAUUUGUUUUCAUUUUAAUAUUAAGUAAAAAUAAAAAUAAAAAUAACAAAUAUAUAUAUAUAUGUCAAUAAUAUCUAUGAUUUAAAAUAAUUUUUUUUAUUUAUUUUUAAAAAUAUCUUAGUAUAUAAUUUGAAAAUUUUUCUUUAUUUUUAUUUAAAAAAACACUUUAAAGUUUUUUUUUGUUAAAUAAUAAAAAUUUAUUUGGACGUGUGAUUUAAAAACAAAUUAUUUUUAAAAAAUUAUGUCACUAUUUGAUUGUUGUUUUUAAAAAAUAAUUUUUAAAAAUAAAGUAAAAUAAAGAAUUGAAUUUAUUAAUGAGUUUAAUAAUUUAAAUAAAUAAAUAAAACUCAAAAAAAUAUUUAUAAUGACUAUAAAAAUAAUAAACAUAAUUAAUAUUUUAAUUUUUUUUAAUAAAUCUUGUAAGUUUUAAGUAUAAUUUGAAAUUAAAAAAAAUGAUUAAUUAAUUUUAAAUUAAAUAAAAUAAUUCAGAAUGUCUUAUUCGUGAUUAAGUUGGCUCAUUUAUACCUUAAAAAAUUAAAUUUUAUUUAUUUUUAUAUUCAUUUAAAAUAGAAUAGUAUUUGCAAUUAUUAAAUUUUGAAUAGUUAUUCUUUAUUUUUAACAAAAUAAAUUAAUUAUGUUUUAUAAGAUGUUAUUAUUCAUAUUUUUAUAAUAUUUGUAAAAUAAUAUAAAUAGUAUUAGAAAUUAUUAAUUUUUAACUAUUAUUAUUUAUUUUAACAAAAUAGAUCAAUUAAUGUUAAUAUCUAUAGUUUUAUAAUAUUUAUAAAAAUAUAAUUUAUGAUUUUAUUAUAUUAUUAAUAUCCAUAUUUUAUUAAAACCUAUUUAUUUUUAAUUUAUUUGUAAUUAUUUUUUUUUUAAUAAGAUGUGAAUUAAACUUAGUUUACAUUAUACAAAUUGAAUUUACAAUUUCGUUUUUGACAAAAUCAAAAUAAAAAAACAGUUUUUAUAAAACAAUUUAUCUAAAAAGUCUUUAAUUUUUUAUUUUUGAAAAAUAUUUUUAAAAAUAACUUAUACUAAGGAAUCAAAAAUACCUCAUAGGAUAAAUUUCAUUUCCAAUUGAAUCAUUUUUUAUUCCACUCUCAUCAUCUUCAAGUCAUCCAAACUUGGGAAUAAAAGAAGAAAAUGAAUAAAUUGUCAAUUCUUACUCCUCAUUUCUGCACAUCAAACACAACCUAAAAGGAUUGUUGAGCAAAUUUCUAAAUUACUCUUGAGAACGUAGACACAUUUUAUGAGUAAAAAAUGUUCAAUGUUGUUUUAAAAAAAAAAUAUAUAUGUAGAUAGCUAAGGUGGCAAUUAUUUCAUAGGAAGGAGAUCAAAAUAUGUCAAACUUUCAAAUAUGGUUUAUAAUUUGAAAACCCAAAAUUCCUAAAAUCUCAAAAUAUUUGUCAUUACCUUAAAUUUUAAAUUUUUUAUUUUUACUACUAUAGAUUUUAAAAUUUUUAAAUAUUUUAUUUUUUAAAGUAGAGAAUAAUGCUAAUUUUUCUAACUUAAGAAAUAAAGAUUCUCAUAUAAAAAAUAUAGACUUGGAUUACAAGGAAAAGUAAGAUUUGACUCAGUAAUAUGAAAAUAUAUGAAAAAAAAGAAUCUCAAAUUUUUUAAAUUAUCUUCAUCUAUAUAAAAAUAAUUUGAAAUACAUGCAUUUUUUAAUGAGUCAUCUAAUUAUUCCAAAAAAAUACCCCUUUACUUGUCAUAUCAUCUAAAUCAAUUGACAACUAGACUAUUCAUAUAGAUGUUUUCUUUCCUUUUCUUUUAAAUAUUUUAUUGUUAUUAUUUUUUUAUUUGAAUUUUUUUUUCUUUAGAAACAUUAUAAAGUAAGAAUUUGAAAAAAAAGAAAGUUUAUUCUAGUAUUAAUAAGUUAAAAAUAAAUUCAUAUUCUUGAUAAUAAAUAAACCAAUAAUAAAUUUGUAUUUGUUAUAUAAUAUUAAUAAUUGUAUGAUAUAAUAGAGAAUAAAAUUUGUUGUAAGAGUUUUUUAGAUAUAAAAUAUUUUACAAUAUAAUUGUACUUUGAUAUAUAGUAUAAAAUAAAUAAAUAAAUAAUUAUUUUAUAUUAAAUAAAUUAAUUAUAAUUAAAAUAUUUAUAUUUUAUUAAAUUUAUUGUUUAUUAUUUAAUAAAUAAUAUUAUUAUUUUUUUGAAUUGGUAAUUAUGAUUAAAUAAGAUUUGUUUGACAAUAUUUCCUCUUAAAAUUUUAGGAAAUAAAAAAAAAUUAAUUCUUAUUUAAAUAGGACUUUUUUUUUUGCACAAUAUUUCUUAAACUUUUAGGAAACUAAAAUAAGAAUCCUAUGAGAUGUUUGUUUCCAAAGAAAAAAAAAAUCUCAAAUAAUAAAAUAAUAAUAAUAAUAUAUUUUUAAAAAAAAAUUUAUAUGAAGGAGUGUAGUUGUGAAUUGAUUUGAAUGACAUGACAAACAAAAGAAUAUUUUUAAAAUAAUUGAAUGAUUCAUUAAAAAAUGCAUGUAAUUCAAAUUAUUUUUAAAUGUACAAAGAUAAUACUAAUUUAAAAUUUUCAGAGUUCUUUUUUUCAUAUAUUGUUAUAUUAGUGAAUUAAACCCUACUUUUCCUUGGAUUAUAUCUUUAAAAAUUACUUUAAAAAAUUUUUAACAUCCAUUUUAAAUUUUAUUUGAAAAAUAACAAUUUAAUUUUAUAUUAUUGGAUUUUUUAAAUUUUGAAAACAAAUUAUCGAUGAAAUGAUCUUGGGCGAUUUUGGUCGAACUUGCUGGGUUGAGAUAAUGGAAACUUGGAUUUCAAAAGAAUCGAAGUAAGAGAUAGUUUUCCAUUGAAUAAAAUGAAAGAGAGAUGCAAAAAGGAAAACAUGGGUUGACUAAACACUUCCACCACAUCUCAUAUCCUUAUACGCAAUUAUGUAAAAUACGUGAUCUUUAAGACUAACAUCAAAUUCACCUUCCCCUAAAACAUAAUUGCAAUUAUAUAUAUCGAAAAUAAUUUUAAAUUAGAUUAAACUUUUUAUUAUUUUUAAUUUUUUAAAAAAUACAUAAAAAAGGU
This 20030-nucleotide long non-coding RNA is filed under the name Vitis vinifera (wine grape). Its description in RNAcentral is "long non-coding RNA (VVIN_LNC000416)". Lineage: Eukaryota; Viridiplantae; Streptophyta; Magnoliopsida; Vitales; Vitaceae. The record is from RNAcentral.